Chelonia mydas (Green sea turtle) is the source of this 5212-nucleotide long non-coding RNA. RefSeq lists it as uncharacterized. The transcript has 6 exons. NCBI's taxonomy places the organism in Eukaryota, Metazoa, Chordata, Testudines, Cheloniidae. The record is from RefSeq and is a predicted model, not a curated record.
CCAUCCUCUGCUAUUUCAGAAAAUGGCUGGGAAAGCCUUGGGGACAAAUAUCACUGACGAUGUCUUCAUGGUUAAACAUCCUAAACUACCUCUUGUCCUGUUUCUUGCUUGUUUUACACUGUGUGGGCCUUAUUCUCCUCCAACGUGCAUCAGGUUCACAUGGAUGUAACUCCAUUGGUAUCAGGGGAGUAACUCCUGAUUUACAUCAGCACAGGCUAGAAGACAUUCAAGCCCUAUGUAUAGACCUCUUCUCUCCCUGCUCAGCUACUAUUUUGGACUAGGGCAUGGGCAUGAAACAUUUACUGGUGGUUGUGAAGAGUCCAGCAAAGCAUAGUAAAGAGAUGGCUCAGUGCUUAGGGUACUAGCCGGCAACGGGAUUCAGUUCGCUGCUCUGCUACAGACUUCCUGCGAGACAGUGGGCGAGAUGCUUAGUCUGGCCAGGCCCCAGUUCCCCGUCUGAUAAACAGGAAUAACAGCACUUUCCUACCUCACAGGGGAUUUUGUGUGUAAAUGUAUUGAAGAUUUAUAAGGUGCUUAGAUCCUAUGGUAUUGAGGACCAAUAUGUACCCUGGAUAAGUAAGGACCCUUGCUCUCUUCUAGGCACCAAGUAACUCCAAAGUUUUGCUUGGGCUGAGCAAGGCUUAGAUGAGAUUUAUUUGCUGCCAAUGCAUUAGGAUAUCUCUGUGUCCUCCAAUCAGGAGGCAGGAGUCACGGGCCAUAUGGGGAAAAACUGAUACAUGAAUUGCAAAGUCAGCUCACAUUCCAGCUAGGGUAACAAAAGUGUGUCUGAAGAAGUGGGUUUUUUAUCCACAAAAGCUUAUGCCCAAAUAAAUCUGUUAGUCUUUAAGGUGCCACCGGACUCUUUGUUGUUUUUGUGGAUACAGACUAACAUGGCUACCCCUCUGAUAAGAGUGUGUUUAUUCCCACCCCUCCCCACCGCCAGUGCUGGUCCUCUGUUGUUGGCCUACACAAACUUUCCCAGGCCCCCUGGGGAGUUACCUGCUUCUCUGGAGGGGGCUGUCUUGGACAUUCAACCAAAACACUGUGCAGCAGUUUGUGAAGAGGACAUCUCCAUUAAUACUGCUUUCACACUUCUCUCCUCAGUCGGGUUAGUGGGUGAGGUCUUUUUCUUCCCUCAUUACCGACUGAGUCAAGGAAUUAUUCCCACUGGAGAAGGCUGGACAUGGAGUUAAGGCACUGGAGUUGAAGGCUGGACAUGGAGUUAAGGCACUGGAGUUGAAAGGGGGUUCAAUUCCCUGGUUUGCUAGACAUCCUUAACCCUCCCCACCUUUAAAAAUGGUAUGACCCUUGUCUUUUCAGAUAGUGAACUACUCUGUUUUUUACUAUGCAUCUGUGCAGAGGCCGGCACAAUGGGUCCUGAUCUCAGCUGGAGUCUCUGGGUGCUACUUGGACAACAGAUAAAUAAUAUUAACACAGUAGUGGCUGAUUGCGCCUCCUCCCCUCAAAAUAUGACUUCCUGGAGAAAUAAAGCCAGGCUGGAAAUGUUGGGGGAAAGGAUUCCCUGUCAUAACUUCUCCUCUUUUUCCAUGUCAUCUUCAUUAUCAUCAGAAUCUUAGGGCAGUGCUGGGUUGUGUAUUUUCUGUAUGGAGCAUGAAACCAGCUGAAGGUGAAAGUAAUAAACAAAGACCCUGAUUUCCAAGCAUGAAUUGUGUGUGUAUAGAUCAAAACCUAGAAGUUCCGCAGUAAAACUUUAGCGCUCCAACAGUUUGAGUGAGUCCUGUAUUUACCGGUUGCAAUUGGGAAUCCCCUGAGCAUGCUGUUGCACCUUUCUCUAUCUCAUUAGCAUUACCAUGGACGUGUCCGAAGCUUCCAGGCCUCUUCCCCGUCUCACACCAGUGUGAAUGGCAAUCCUUGGGGCUUUAGCUCCUGCUUUUAUAGACAUCCCCAUCUUUUCUGUCCACUGCGGUCGUUUUUAAGCCCCAGCCAGGGUCUCGGUUCAGGUUUGGACACAAGAGGGCGCUGUCGAGCUAUUGCAGGCGUAGGGCAGUUUGUGGAAAAGACCUGGCAGCUGAGACAAAGAGCUGGUGCAGGAGGAGGCGAGAUGUUGGGAACGCUCUGUCCACUUUGUGUGCGGGAUCAGAUUUGUUGCUGGAUACCAAAACUUCUGUGAAACAGUCCCUGUGGCCCGUGAUGGAGAGAAGGAGACAGAUGUGUCAGACUGUGCCUGAGGGAAAUGAGGGCAGUGUUGAACAAACAUGUCCAAGAGGCCGAGACAGGAAGGCAGAAUCACUAGGAUCCCAGCCGAACAUGCAAAACCCUGUUUUGAACAUCAACACGAUCUACUGUUUAUUCCAGAGUAUGAAAAUCGAGCUGCUUCCUGUGCUCUUCAUACAUCAUCACCAACAAAGCCAGAUAUGAGAACCUAGCUCAAAUUCCAGGGUGAUUAUUGUCAUGCAUGAUCUAUGGAGCAAAUAAAUUAUAGCUUUAUUUUUAUAAGGUACAAUUGAGCCUCCAGGCUUCAGUAGUAACAAAAACACAACGCAGAACCUUGGUUUAACUAGAAAUUUGAGGAAAUAUGACAAAUCUGACAUGGAAGUCACAAAGUAAAUAAAUAUGCACAUCCAUCAUUUUGUAAAACAAUGCCUUCGCUAGAGAGAGACCUCUGCUUGUUUUAUUCUGGAAGGCAUUGUCGGCCAUACUGUUCCAGUUCAGGGACUCUUGCAACAGAAAAGAUCAGCUGUUGGAGAACCCAUGGAAGGCCCUUGGGGAAGCGCCAUGGCCGCAAGGACUGCCCCACAUCUCUCCUCUCUUGGACUAAUCCAAUCCAAGAGGCGAGGAUGGGUGUCUUGAUGGACCUGCCCAUGGGAAUCUAGCAGAAGUUUGUAUUCUUAGGGGCAUCUCAGUGACCCAGGAUUGAAGAUGUAUACAUAUAAUGCACACUGCUUGUAAUGUAUAAUACAUACAAUGUGAUUUGUCUAAUAAUACUGGGGAUAAUGUGUUUUGCAUCUUCACAUUCCAACGUUGGGGUGCUUACAGGUAGUAGACUAUUUAAAGGGGGGCAUGUACAGGUGUUUGUGUAACCCACACAUCUCCUGGGUGUGGUGUUCUGUCUCCCCCAAUGGCACCAAAACCACUUAGAGAUUAAUAAAUCUGCUACAGCCUUAGCUAAUGGUCACGUGGCUUUUAGCUCAUGCAUUUAGCUCCAGAGAUCCCAGGUUCAAUCCUGCCCACCAACGACCAGGGCCUGUCAGUUUUACAUGUGCACCUACAAAAUGUAGGCACAGGGAUGAGCACAUGCAAAUUGGAGGCUGCCUUUUAAAACUUAAAUCAUAAUCUCCCCUGGCCAAACUAAGCCCUGCUGGAACUCCAUUGAAGUCAGCGAUGUUACUGGACAGCAGGGAUUAACUUGACGCAGUUUGCUUCCGUUUCCUCAUCUUUGAAAUAGGGAUAAUAAUGUUUUACUUCCCUGGCUGGCCUAAGGAUUAGUAGUUAGCUUGUGAUCAGCUAUCUUAAUGUGUAUUGUAAAUUUGGAUCCACUGAGUGUUUAUUGGGACUGAGCGUACGGUGCUUGCCUGGAGAGGCAGCUCGUCCACCAGUGAUCAUUGCAGUGAUGUAAAAAUGAAGCAAAAAAAAAAAAGUCAGACCCCUACCGAUGCAUGUCAAGUCACCUGAAUCUCUCCAGAGGGGUUUAUGCUUUUGUGUGAUUAGAGUCAUAUUUAUAGGAAAAUCAUGACACCUCUCCUCACCUUCCCCAGGGUCUGUCAAACACAUCACUGCUGUUCUCAAUAUCUCAAAAAUUGGCUGGAAACAAAGAACAUGGUGUCUUCUGGGGGGAUUUCAUUCUGAAGGUCCAGAUUGUGAUGCAUUCCAGGGGCCUUAUCCUUUCACAGAAUGCAAGUAGCCUCUACUGAUCCCAAUGGGAGCUACUUAUACUGGGAAAAAUCCACCCCUGUGCAGAGAGCUCACACCAGGCGUAUGCACCAGUUAAUUCCCUAUUUUGGUGGGUUACAUGAGACUGUAAGAGCUGUGAAUUUCACCCACGAGAUAGCAGGAGAAUGGGGCCCCAUGUGAUUCAACUCAGUAGAGCUUAUUAACAGCGUGGCUAGGACAGUAAGGAACCCGAUGUAAUAACAGGGCAGUGAGUUUGCUGAAAGGCCUUGCUGGCUGCUAAGACUCUGAGAACUGCACGGCUCAGGAUCAUUAGCUAUGUCCGCCUGCGAGGAGGAUUGUAAACUGGUACGUGUUCCAUGCACAGAAGGCUUUGCUAAGUAAAGGGGACAGCACAGAAUAAAGCAGAGUUGGACUGAGUCCCUGAGGCAUUGUCCAAUUAUCAAAGGAGUGGUGCGGUCUAGUGGUGUGAGUAACAGGACUGGUAGCCUAUAGCCGCUGUAUUCUCAUCUUGGCUCUAGCAAUGAUUCCCAAUGCCAAAUUCUGGUCUCAGCAUUUGUGAAGGCAGCCGUAAUGCCACUGCCAUCAGUGGGAUUGGCCCACCACUUAGAAAACUGAGAUUUUUCUCCUUUUUUCACCUAACUAAUUUAUUCCUCAAUAAUGCACAGCAUCAGCCUUUCGUAUCGGCAUGAAACCUGGAAACAGGGAGAAGAAAACAGCUGGGGGUUAAAAAAAAAAAAUUGAUUCUUGACCCUUGCAAUCCCCAAUAUGGUUACUGUUUCCGCAUGAAUCUGAAAAUCUAAAUGUGCCCCCAAAAUAGCUUAAGAUCUAGAGGGCAACCACUGCUAAAAUCAAAGAUUUCCUAAGCAAAUCAUGUAUCUAUUGGGGGCUUGAGGGGCGGGAUGAGGAGAGAGAGCGAGAUAGCGCAGGCUUUCUGCUUGUAAACUUGCCUGUGCAUCUAAACCAAUAGUUCACUUCUGAGCAUUCCAAGACACAACAGUGACAAACCUAUUUCUCAUGCAAUACUGUCCAGUUUCCUAGAUUUCGGGCUGUCGCUGUUGGAUUUUUAAACAUCGCCAAACCCAUUGUUUCCCGCCAGGAGCUCCUGAGGCAGAAAUGGGGUUGUUUGUUUGUUUGUUUUUUUAGUUGUCACGGGGAUAUGCUAUGCAGUUUGUUUGUUUGUUUGUUUGUUUGUUUGUUUGUUUGUUUGUUUUAAAGGCAUGCAGGAAACCAAAGCCCCGACUCAAAGAUAAAAGCCUAAACAAGAACACUGGGGUGUUAGGUUAAGGCGGGAGUGGGGAGAGAGAAAGCCAUUAGCGACUAUAAUCCUUUGGAAAAGGGGAGAAAUCAUUCCUAAGGAAGA